RNAcentral lists this ribosomal RNA (419 nucleotides) under uncultured bacterium. RNAcentral's name for it is "partial 16S ribosomal RNA". It matches the Rfam family "Bacterial small subunit ribosomal RNA", at positions 355 to 762 of the family's 1533-position model. The record is from RNAcentral.
UGGGGAAUUUUGGACAAUGGGCGAAAGCCUGAUCCAGCAAUGCCGCGUGUGUGAAGAAGGCCUUCGGGUUGUAAAGCACUUUUGUCCGGAAAGAAAUCCUUGGCUCUAAUACAGUCGGGGGAUGACGGUACCGGAAGAAUAAGCACCGGCUAACUACGUGCCAGCAGCCGCGGUAAUACGUAGGGUGCAAGCGUUAAUCGGAAUUACUGGGCGUAAAGCGUGCGCAGGGCGGUUUGCUAAGACCGAAUGUGAAAUCCCCGGGCUCAACCUGGGAACUGCAUUGGUGACUGGGCAGGCUAGAGUAUGGCAGAGGGGGGUAGAAUUCCACGUGUAGCAGUGAAAGUGCGUAGAGAUGUGGAGGAAUACCGAUGGCGAAGGCAGCCCCCUGGGCCAAUACUGACGCUCAUGCACGAAAGCGU